AGAUACCCCACUAUGCUUAGCCCUAAACCUAGAUAGUUAGCUCAAACAAAACUAUCCGCCAGAGAACUACUAGCAACAGCUUAAAACUCAAAGGACUUGGCGGUGCUUUAUAUCCCUCUAGAGGAGCCUGUUCUAUAAUCGAUAAACCCCGAUAAACCUCACCAUCUCUUGCUAAUUCAGCCUAUAUACCGCCAUCUUCAGCA
RNAcentral lists this ribosomal RNA (203 nucleotides) under Panthera onca (jaguar). Its description in RNAcentral is "partial 12S ribosomal RNA". The record is from RNAcentral. Lineage: Eukaryota; Metazoa; Chordata; Mammalia; Carnivora; Felidae.